CCUGAUCAACCACCUCAGCAUUAAAACUCUUGAGAGCGAUAUGACCUCUUGGGAAGUCAAUAUCAUCGUAUGUUUUGCUCUCAACAGAUCCUGGCCCCAACAUGAACUCAGGUGACAGGAAAGUUUUUGAUUUGAUCUUGUUUCCGUUUUCCAGAAAAGCUUGUGUACAAGAUACGUCAAAAGCCAGUAUUGAAAGUAGUAACCGAAGUACCAUGUUGCCUGUCAGUCAAUUUCAAUGUCUCAGUUUAAAACCACAUAAUCUUGCGAAGGGAAUAGGGUACUGGUUUCUUAACCGCGAUUGAAUAUACAUAUAAAAAUAAUACUUAACCUGUCGAAACCUUUCUAACUUUGUUAUUGAACAAGAUAUUUCGAUUCAAACUUUAGAAACCCUCGUAUGAUUAUUUGUUUAGUUUAGGUUUUAAAUUUAAUCUUGACAUGAUGUUAUUUACCAGGUAGAUUUAUUUUUUUAAAAAUCAAUAUAAUACUAAAUGAUAAAAAUUUAAUAAAAAUCUUAUAAAAGAAAUAUGGAAUUUGAAAAAAACCCCGAAAACAAAUGAGCAAUUUUUUUUUUAAUUAUAUGAUGAAAAAUAAAAAAUAAUUUAUGAUAUAAUUAAAUAAAAAUCCAAAAAAAAAAAACAAAAGAUAACAAAGAGCAAAAAAUUCUAAGAAAAUAAAAAUUUCAUAUUAAAAAAACUUAAAAAAAUAAAAUAAACAAAAAACCCAAAUGACCAGUUAUGGACCUAUUAGAAAAAACUUAUCGCACGUGGCCCAUGCUCUUGGCCCAUAUUUGUUUUUGUUUUUUUUGUCAACCCUUUCUUUUUUUCCUGAAAAAGAUUACCAAUCAGGCUAUCAUAAUCUGCAAGUAUUUUGCUUCCACGGAGAAUCAAACCGUUAACCUCAACAUGACUCCUACUGCAUUUAGUAUUUAUAUGGUCGCCCGCCCCUUCUUCGUCUUCUUCUUCUUCUAUUUUUUUAAUAAAAAAUCCAUAUCUAACAAGUCAUUUGUUGUUUAGGGAACACAAAGAAUUUUGCUUCCAUGGAGAAUCAAACCCACGACCUCACGUGACUCCCACGCGUUAACCUUUAGGAUACCCUUUAAGAUAUAACAUACAGUUGAUAACCAAAAAAGAAAAAAAAAGAUGAACAGUUAAAGAAACUCCACACCUUUUAAUUGUUUUAGUAAUAGUAAAUCCAUGUUGUAAAUACUUCCUUUUUCAUCAGUUUUUGAUAAUCACCAAACAUGUGAUUGAAGAAAGAGUAAUUUAACGAAGAAGGGUCUUGGAUUAUAAUCAAUUAGGAAAAAAAUAAUCAAUCAUAACCCCUCCUUUGUCAUCCUGGAGAUGCUUCUUCAAGAUUUUUAUUCCAGGCAGCAGCAGCCAUGGAUAACAAAAUUAAACAGCAAAAAGUCUCCAGUUUCACUAAUUUCAGGGCCAGGCAACACGAUUCAAACCUAUACAAAUACUGCAUUAAAAUAUAACAAAUCUAAGCAGCUCUAGUUUAUAAAAAUGGAUACGGAACCAGCAGUCAAGAGAGGCGUUCUUCAAGCACAAACAGAGAGGCAAGACACACAAACACAACCACCUUAAGUAAGACUUGCAUCAAUCAUUAGAACUAGAAAAACAGGAACAUACCCGAUGAAUUCAAUGGUCUCUGCCACUUCUCAAGCAGAUGUAUCAUUCUGAUGAUUUUGAACAACUUGGGCUCUCUUCUGCUCAGAAUUCAGAUGAGUUCAUUUGAACAGAGUAAAGAGAGGGAAAGGUUUGGAAGAGUGCUGCGAUGUCAUUGACUCAGUCCAUCCAUUAGUAAUGAGGACUUCAACAUGCAGUAAACCAUGGCAAUGAAAUUCUGUUCAGAGAUGGACCAAUUGGAUUCAGGCUACUGCCUAAGCCAUGACGUCUAGUGCCACCGCCACAUGCUUUCUUUCUUUAGACUAUUUUCAUUUGUCUGCUCUUUUGACUGCGUCAUCUCGAUAAAGAGUUUAUAGAGAAAUGACUUUGAUAGAGUCGUUGACUUGGGGUUUCGUGUCUCUUUUAUUUUGAAAAUUUAUGAGUAAAAUCUCUCCUUUGAUAGAGUCAAAUAUUUGUGUUUAACUAAUACACAAGUGAACUUGUCAAUGAAUUUAAUUGAACUAGACAAGAUGAUAUUACAGGUGAUUAUUUUUUAUUCCAUCUGAUUUUUCUAAAAAAAAAAUAACCAAACCGAUUUUUUUUUUAAAAUCAAAAUCGAUUCAAACCAAUUGAUUUCUAUUCUAUUAGUUUUUUUAGAACAAAAACCUGUUCUGUUUUAGUUCGAUUUGACUUGGUUUUUUUUUUUUUGGUUUGGGUUUGAUUCGGUUUUUUCGGUUUCAGGCUUAUAAAAUAAUAAAAAAAAACUGAAAACGAAUCGAAUUGGUCAGUUUUUUUAAAAUUUUAAUUGGUUUAAUCGGUUUUUUUCACUGUUUGGUGGUUUGUAAUUUUUUUUUUCUAGUUUUCUCGAUUUAAUUAUUUUUUUAAUUUUUUUGCUCACCCUUAUAUAAUAUCAGCUUAAGGUAUUUCAAAAUCUUAUAUCCCGAGUUUUAAAUUUAAUCUUGACAAGAUCUUAUUUAUUGGGUAAAUUAAAAAAAAAAUCGACACAAUAAUGAUAAAAUUCAAUAAAUUUUUUACAUUAAAAGAUGAAAUUAGAUAAAAAUAAAAAAUCACAAAAUAAUAAAAAAUGUAAAGAAAUAAAAAUUCUGAUAUUAAAGGAUGAAUUAAAAAAACAAAAGAAAGGGCAUUUUUUUUUAUUAUAUGAUGAAAAAUAAACAAAUAAUUUAUUAUCAACCGAACACUAAAUGAUAUAAUUAAAUAAAAAGCAUAUAUUAAAAAAUAAAUAAAUAAAAAAGAGCCAAAAAAAUCCUAAGAAAAUAAAAUUUUCAUAUUUAAAAAUAAAAAAACUUAAAAGAUAAAAAAAAUCAAAAACUCAAAUGACUAGUUAUGGACCUAUUAGAAAAAACCUACGCACAUGGCCAUGCUCUUGGGUUCAUUUUUUUUGUCAACCCUUUUUUUUUCUUGAAAAAAAUUACUUAUCAUCAAAGUUGUCAAAAACGCUUUUUUAACAUAACACGAAACAUAUAAUAUAAACUCAAAUUGUAAAAUUAUAAAAUCAUAAAUAAAAUAUUUUAAUUAAUUAUAUAUUGACAAUUCUAGUUAAGUAGUAAUUAACAAUAUAACAUAAUUAAAAUAAAAAUAAAAUAAACAAUAAAAAAGUCUAAAAACCUUAAAAUACAUGGUUCAAAUAAAAAAUUAUAUAUAAUUUAAAUAACUUAAAAAUACAAUACCAUAAAAUUAUUCCUAUAAACUUGAGUUUUUUUAAGGAGAAAGGGAUAGAUUGACCAAAGUUGUUAAUGGGUAGGGAGGGGUUUUGUUAGCAUUGAAUGUGGGCUCACAAGAUUAUUUAAACCAGAGAAACAAGCAAUCAGUCUUAUAGAUACACUACAUGUUAAAAUAUCCUUAGUUUUAGCAUUCCAAGCCUAAAUCAUUGGGGGUAAACUCUGUGCCUCCAGAAAUGGCUGUGAUUUCAAAAUCACGUAACAUGGGUAGCAAAGACUGAAACAUAGAAUAAUUUAGAAACUGAAGAUGGAGUUGAAUUAGUGGCGGAGAUUAUUCGGAAAAGGAAGAGGGGCGAUUGGUGGAAAUAUAAAUAGAAUACGCAGGGGGCUCACAAUAGUUUGUUAAAAACUAACCUGAUUGAUGCCAAAACAGAGAUGAUUGAUGAGAGACUGCAGAAGAAGAAGAAGAGAGGCAGACAGCAGACCGAAGAGGCGCAGAUGAAGUAAUUUUAUAUUUUAUUUAAACUUGGUAAAUCGGCUGAGUUUACCGAGUUUAAGCGAGUUUGAUUGAUUUUACUGGUUUUCCGAGUUUUUAAUCUGAUUUUAUAUAUUAUAUACAUGUUCGACCAUUUUUUUGCUUCCAUGGAGAAUCAAACCCUUAACCUCAACACGACUCCUGCGCAGUAACUAUCGAGCUACAACUUAAAGUUUUUAACCAAACAAAAAAAACAUCAACCUGAUUUACUAUUUAUAUGGUCGCUCCCCCCUUCUUUUUCAUGAAAAUGGAUACGGAACCAGCAGUCAAGAGAGGCUUACACAGAGAGGCAAGACACACAAUUACAAACACAACCACCUUAAGUAAGACUUCCAUCAAUCAUUAGAACUUGAAAAACAGGAGCAUAUACCCGAUGAACUCAAUGGUUUCUGCGACUUCUCAAGCAGAAGUAUCAUUUUGAUGAUUCUGAACAACUUGGUCUCUCUUCUGUUCAGAAUUCAGGUGAGUUCAUUUGAACAGAGUAAAGAGAGGGAAGGGUAUGGAAAAGUGCUGUGAUGUCAUUGACUCAGGCCAUCCAAUAGUAACGAGGAAGUCAAGACCAGUAAACCAUAGCAAUGAAAUACUGUUCAGAGUUGGGCCAAUUGGAUUCAGGCUGCUGUGAUAUAUAGAACUAAUUUAACGAAGAAGAAAUGUAACAGAGAAGAAGCCUAUGAUUGGAGUACUUAAUUCUAAGCAUCCUUCAACUAAAAAUAACCUUGGCAUUUAUAGCCAUACAGUUCAUAAUAGAAUUAACAAACAAAUAGGAAAAAGUUACACCACUAUUCCACUUCUAGCCAUUAACUAACUAAUCCACGUUGCUGCCCACCCUGCAGUAGUGCAGCCACUACAAGUUCCUGCAGCUUGAUCUGUGGCAUGAUCCCACGUUCUUGUGCAUAUCAUACUGCCUAAGCCAUGGCGUCCAAUGCUGCAUGCUUUCUUUCUGUAGAAUAUUUUUAUUUGUUUGCUCUUUUGACUGAGUCAUCUCGAUUAAGAUUUCUUGAGUUUAUAGAGAAAUGACUUUGAUAGAGUAGUUGACUUUGGGUUUCAUGUCUCUUUUAUUUUGAAGAUUUAUGAGUAAAAUCUCUCCUUUGAUAGAGUAAAAUAUUUGUGUUUAUCAAGUACCAUUGCUCUUAGUUACAGCAAUUUCAUAAUAAAUUUUGUUUAUCUUGAUAGGAUUUUUGGAUUUCAAUCCAAAACUCAUGCACAUCCUAACCUACAUAUAACAAGGACAAACAUAAAUCCAGCUUGGUUCAUGUCCACAUAUGAUAACAGCGUAGGAUCUACAGAUGCAGUACACAACCCAUGGAAACACAGCACAAUUUACAACUUUAUUUAGGAACUAGUUUGUAGCCACGUCCUCUCCUUUUCUUCAGCCAGGAAUGCACAGAAACAGCAGCAGUCACAGCCAGUCCAAUGAAAACCACCAUUGACCAAGCACAAGUUUUUACUUUAAUGGUAUGAUGAUAACAGCGCUGGCUGCAGAGAUGCAGCACACAACUCAUGGAAACAUAACACAAUUUACAGCCUUAUUUAGGAACUGGUUUGUAGCCACCUUCUCUCCUUUUCUUCGGCCAGAAAUGCACAGCAACAGCAAUAGUCACAGCCAGUCCAAUGAAAACCACAAUUGACCAGGCGUUAGUUGUUACUUUAAUGCUUUCAUGCAUCUGCAGGAUUCAAGAAAAAAAUUAGAGGUUACAUGUUUGUUAACAUUAUAAGCAUUUUUUUCUCUCGAGAAUUCCUGCCCCAAAUCGGAUAAUCCUGUCUUAGUUACCCGACUCCUUUUAUACUGAAAAAGAAAUCACUAGCUGAAGAUUGAACAAAAACUUACCUGAACAGGAGCUUGUGAGAAAGCCACAUUUGGUGCUUGUUCUGCUAUGUAAAUGUAGAAAAACCCCAUGACUCCUGUGUGCUUAUUAGUGCUGUUGUAGUUAGAUUCCAGAGUUAGAUUCUCGCCAGCUGCUAUCUUGACAGAACCUGGUUCAGGAUAACAGGUGGACAUUCCUACAAUAUAACCAUCCUCGUUUCCUGCUUCAUUUCCAUUUCCAUAAAUUGGUAUUGAAGCGCAAAUUACGUUCCCAUCCUGAAUUCAUCAUAUAAAAAGAUCAUUUGAGCCGGAUGUUAUUCGACUUGAUCAGCGAUGACACGAAGUGGGUAGUAGAUAUUGCUGUAAUAAUCAGAAAACAUUCCAAGCUAGCCUCUGGAACAGUGAAAUCAGACAUAAAAGACAAAUUGAAGAAGGUUCCCUUAUGCUGCUAUGAGAAAGGAGGAUUGUGCUUAUGAAAGUUGCGGUGACAAACUUCGGGAGAGAACGUCGUUAAAAGAUAAUAAGAUGAUAGUUUACUUCAAUUGCAUUAAUUUCUAAAGAACUUUCAAUGGCCUACCAGAUAUGAAAGAGGGUAAAAAAGAUGCAGAAAAAACGAGAACAUGUUAUCAUAAAUAGGUUGAGAAUCACCUGUCCAUACAGAGUUGAACCGAUCCCACCAGCAUGCUGGUGGGCAACAGCAUAGAUGACAUAACCACCAGUUGGCAUGGUGAGGCUGUUUCUUUUGAUGUCAAUGCACCCAUUACCAGCUGCAUCGGUAGAGGUGCAAGACUCAACUUCAUACUCAACCUGCACCAAAAAUAUUCUAGUGAUUCGCAGUGCAGUGAAAUAUAAAUGACAUCCUUGGAAAAGAGAAGCCUUAAUUGUUUCCUCAUUAACUUGAUUCCAGAACUUGUGACUGAUCCUGCAGGUCCCCUUCACUGUUUAAGCUGUUGCUGCAGUCUAAUAAUAGAUGUGUCUACCACAACGAUUUAUCAUCAAGCAUAAACUACCAGGUAUUUCUUAUGAAUUUUCUACAUCGCAAUUUGUUCGAUGGAAACGAAUUCAAUAGAACCUACCUAUUGAGUUGUGUGAUCGGUAGAAAAUUCUAUCAGUGCAGCAAGUAUUUGAGGAGAUAUUUCGACUCAUCAACAAGUCUAUUUUGUUUUCUCCUGCAUUUUGAAAGAAGAGAAAAGUGCCAUCCACGACAUUUCCCCCCUUACAGUGCAAACAUGUUGGUGCUUAAUAAUAAGUGACAAGAAAGAAUGCAUUUACCUGGCAACCAUUCUCUGGACUGAUUCCUGUUGAUCCAAGGAGCCUUUUUCCAGUAUCAGUAGCAUCUAGCACAAAGAUUUCAACAGGAAUGGUGGAACUAUCCCACUCAAUCCACUUCACCGUAUAUCGCAGGUAGAGGCUCCUCUUGCCCCCCUGAAAACCCUGUCUGACUUUGCACUGUGUCUGACCAUAGCAACAAAACAAACCUCCCUUAUAGUCUGGCCUAAUGGGGUUUCCAUAUUCAUCGUUCGUGACGUUAUAUAGAUCACACCAGCAUUCAAUGCACCCCAGCCUAUCUUCCGCACCCCGUGUUUCAAUUGCAUGGACACCAAGAUACCACUUCUCCUGAUACCCUUCAGGAAUUUCGGCAGGAUUGCCAAUUUGUAUUCCAAAAGGAUCUGGAAUAUGUGUAGCUGUUUUUCGUGUUUCAGAUCCAAGGCCAAAAUACUGUCCAAGAAUUUGAUCCUGGCAUAAUCCACUGUUUCGUGAAAACUUACGGUCUGAUGUGCGAUUCUCAUAGUACUUUCCCACAAGCCAGUGGUGAAUGUAAGUGUCAUAAAGAGGUACAGGAUUCCCAGCCUGAUCAACUACCUCAGCAUUAAAACUCUUGAGAGCGAUAUGGCCUCUUGGGAAGUCAAUAUCAUCGAAUGUUUUGCUCUCAACAGAUCCUGGUCCUAACAUGAACUCAGGUGACAGGAAAGUUUUUGAUUUGAUCUUGUUUCCGUUUUCCAGAAAAGCUUGUGUACAAGAUACGUCAAAAGCCAGUAUUGAAAGUAGUAACAGAAGUACCAUGUUGCC
RNAcentral lists this long non-coding RNA (7695 nucleotides) under Populus tremula. RNAcentral describes it as "long non-coding RNA (PTRE_LNC001042)". The record is from RNAcentral. Lineage: Eukaryota; Viridiplantae; Streptophyta; Magnoliopsida; Malpighiales; Salicaceae.